RNAcentral lists this ribosomal RNA (253 nucleotides) under uncultured bacterium. Its description in RNAcentral is "partial 16S ribosomal RNA". It matches the Rfam family "Bacterial small subunit ribosomal RNA", at positions 524 to 776 of the family's 1533-position model. The record is from RNAcentral.
UACGUAGGGGGCAAGCGUUGUCCGGAAUCAUUGGGCGUAAAGAGCGUGUAGGCGGCUCGAUAAGUCUGCUGUGAAAGUCCAGGGCUCAACCCUGGAAGGCCGGUGGAAACUGUCGGGCUAGAGUCCGGAAGAGGCGAGUGGAAUUCCCGGUGUAGCGGUGAAAUGCGCAGAUAUCGGGAGGAACACCAAUGGCGAAGGCAGCACUCUGGGACGUGACUGACGCUGAGACGCGAAAGCGUGGGGAGCAAACAGG